AACGAACGCUGGCGGCAGGCUUAACACAUGCGAGUCGAACGCAUGCCUUCGGGCAUGAGUGGCAGACGGGUGCGUAACGCGGGGGAACCUACCCCUUGGUACGGGAUAGCUCCGGGAAACUGGAGAUAAUACCGUAUGUGUCCUGAGGGACAAAGAUUCAUCGCCAAGGGAUGGGCCCGCGUCGGAUUAGCUAGUUGGUGGGGUAACGGCCUACCAAGGCGACGAUCCGUAGCUGGUCUAAGAGGAUGAUCAGCCACAUUGGGACUGAGACACGGCCCAAACUCCUACGGGAGGCAGCAGUGGGGAAUAUUGGACAAUGGGCGCAAGCCUGAUCCAGCCAUGCCGCGUGAGUGAUGAAGGCCCUAGGGUUGUAAAGCUCUUUCACCGGUGACGAUAAUGACGGUAACCGGAGAAGAAGCCCCGGCUAACUUCGU
RNAcentral lists this ribosomal RNA (434 nucleotides) under uncultured bacterium. RNAcentral describes it as "partial 16S ribosomal RNA". It matches the Rfam family "Bacterial small subunit ribosomal RNA", at positions 29 to 506 of the family's 1533-position model. The record is from RNAcentral.